UCACUCUGUCACCCAGGCUGGAGUGCAGAGGCACAAUCUUGGCUCACUCCAACACUUCCCGGGUUCAAGAGAUUCUCCUGCCUCAGCCUCCCGUGUAGCUGGGGUUACAGGCACACGCCACCAUGUCUGACUAAUUUUUGUAUUUUUAGUAGAAACGGGGUUUCACCAUGUUGGCCAGGCUGGUCUCGAACUCCUGACCUCAAGUGAUCUGUCUGCCUCGGCCUCCCAGAGUGCUGGGAUUACAGGUGUGAGCCACUGCAUCUGGCCCAGGCUUCUUUUUAAAUCAAGUUUUAAUUUUUUUCAUAAUCUAGUUUAUAUUUUAAAAACAUGACUUUGAUCUAAACAAGUUCUUUUACAUUUUUUUACAAAGUAAAGAGGAUCUCCUGCCUCAUGGCUGCUACUUCUUUCCAGUAAAAAUUAGUCCCUGCGACCUCAAUUAAAAUAAAAUUACCAUAAAGAUCUACGUUGGGCACAGCUAUGUCGUCAAAGCCCUGCUCUGGGUUAAGUGACGAAACACUCGUGAUGCUACUACAUCAGUGACAAAUCCUCAGAAACCACCAGGGAGGGAGGGAUGCUGUACGGACUGCGCAGUAUCCCCCAAAUUCCUCUGCAGAGGCUCACACCCCAAGGUGACUGUCGCUGGAGAUAAGGUCUUUAAGGAGGCAAUCAUGGUAAUAUGGCAGCUUAAGGGUGGGACCCUCAUCCAACAAGACUGGUGUCCUCCUGAGAACGGAAAAACACUGAAGACCACACACACGGAAAAGACCAGGUGAGGCACAGAAUGGGAAGAAGCCAAACCUGCCAGUGCCUUGAUCAUGGACUCUCAACCUCCAGAACUGUGAGAAAAUACGUUUGGGCCUCCCAGUCUGUGGUAUUUUGUCGUGGCAGCCCGAGCUGACUAACGUAGGCGCCAAGCCCCUCCAGAGCCACGUGGCACCCGUGGCUGAUCAGCCUGCCAUGCUGGCAGAUCUACCCUGUAGGGCCAAAAAUGCUUCUACCUGCAACUGCCCAUCAAUAACAUCUGCAUGGCUGUUUGCAGAGGGCAACCAAAGAAGAAAGUUCAGUCCCACUGCACCAACCCAGCUGAUGGAACAGAGUCCCACAUGGCACUCUCCUAAACUGGGCAGCGACGCCACUUACUUCCAGAAUACAGGGAAGAUUCUGAAGCCUGCCGGGGAGCUGAGUGGACCCGCAUGCACUCACUCAUCCACUCCACAGGCAUUUGUCCCAGGGUCUCCAGGUAUGAUGGGAAGCCAGGGUGCACAGGGCCAGAGGCGACAAACACAUUCCUGCCGGGUCCCAGAGAACGGAGGCUGGCCAGGAAUACGGGCGGCAUGAACUACGCUCAGGCUGCAGGUGCCAAGCACUUACACUUGUUUCCUUUGGAGUAAAGCUAGAGGAAACAGAGGCUCCAAAUUCAAAAGGCUUUCCUGAAAGCACACAGCUAGAAAGAAGCUGCACCAGACUUCACUUGAGGACUCUUCUUAGACAUGACAUAUACUGCCUCUCAACAAGCAGCUGUACUGUGGAGGAGAAAGUAGAAAAGUGCCACAAGAGAUUUAAAAAAAAUAAUAAUAAUGCUCCUGGGCCUGAGACAGGGAAGGAGUACAGCAUUUCUGUUUUAUUUCUGGGGGCUGGGGAGCAGAGCAGAACAUUCAGGAAAGACAUUCAUUCUGCAAGCAUUUACUGGGGAUAUACUAUUCGCCAGGCAUGCAUGUAAAAGAGGAGCCACGUGCCCAGAGGGAUGGGAAGACAGCACGUUCCAACCAUGAAGUCGGGGAGCAGAAGGAAGCACAGGUGAGGGAGAGUCCAUGGGAACUGGCGGGCCAGCAGCAGCAGCAGCAGCAGCAGCAGCAGCAGCAGCAGAGGAGCCCAUGCGGCAGGAACAGGAGCCCAUACCUGAGCACUGAGGCACCCAGCCACCUGUCACGAUACUCGGAGGACUGGGCUACAGAGGCCGCACACCCCAGCAACCAACUUCUCCCCGCUCCUAGCAGGCCCUUAAGUCGCUGUUGCUGAGCUCCCCUCACCCCCUUAAAUAUCUCUUUCCCACCAAGAUGCAAAAGGCAACACCAUCCUCUAGCAUUUGCCCAGCUCUGUGCGUGUUUAAUUUCCUUACUAUUUGCAAGAAGUCAUUCAAAAUGUUGACAGCAUCUUAACAGUUUGCACAUGAUAUAUCUGCACAUCUUACAGGUUAGCAUCCGUGUCAAAAGUCACCAAUGAACACAUUACAAUCUCUCCAUUUCCAUUCUCUUUUAAAGGCUGCAGAAUGUCUGGUUCAACACUAAGCAGACUUUUUUCCGCAAAAUUACAAGGAAACACUGAACAAGGGCAGAUGCACAAAAUGAUACCCAUGACGCCUGACAAACAACUCCGUGUUGACAGAACAGCUCGAGGCCCUUCCCCAUUCCAGUGGAUCAGCGCUGUUAUUGCCAGCUCAGUAUCUACGCCCCUGUCUUUCAGAGAACCUUUUCAGUGUUCCUUUGAGGACCUGCCCUGCUCUUCUCUCUGCUGCCACUCUGAUGAGGCUGUCCAUGAAAGGCCUCCCCUGGCCAAGAAGUGGCAGAAUCUGGGCCAAUAAACCACUCUCCAGGCAACCCAAGCAGUGCCCUAAAUACACAGGCAGCCUGUGCCUGUCCCCUGGGCCCAUGGUUCAGUCCAUCCCAACGCCUCUAUGCUCAAAGCCACCCCCACAUCCUUCGAAUAAAAUCCAUGUCUGCUUGAGUCAGCCAGAAUGGGAUUCUCAUGUUUCCAACCAAGGACCCAAAGAGUCAACUUACCACAGUGCCCAGCUUGAAGGGUAAACAAGUUCUGACAGUUCUAAAAGGCAAAGACCAUCUGCUUAAGGCAAACAUUACCUAAAUUUAAGGACUUUUUUAAUGCCCUAAAUUCUGAUGGCAACUCCCAAAGAAAAGAUUCCCAAAAUGGUGGCCAUGGCAACCUCAAUGGCCUGAGUAUACAAGCUCCCCAACUGACCAAUACGGCUGCAGGCCCCUUCUCUGGGACAUGAGUCAUUGAACAUCUGAUCUAAACACCAGGUAUGUUCCUUGUUGCUACACAGACUGUGCCCUACAAGCCAGAGUCCAUCCCGCCUCCCUCAUGCAGUUAAGCUCCAUGGAGCUCUCACCACGUGUCCAGUCCUGGAUGAGACACCGGGGUUUGGUUCCUGAGCACCUUGAGCCCAUGCUGGGGAGAGACGUGCAGCCCACGUCACAGCAAAGUGCACAGGCCACCAGGUGGCAGGCCCUGGAAUCGCCAGCAGGAGCCAUCGGAAUGGCCUUGGGGAAGCAGGACUCCUGAGCUGGGUUGUGAAGGCAUCAGGUGGGUUAAAAGAGGCUUGCCAAGGGGCAGGACUCAGGUGAUCCAAACCCCCAGGCAGGGCCCCAGACAGAGGAAGUGGCCUGCCAGGAACUGUGAGCCUGGCUGACGGUAUCCUCCACAGCGAAGGUGCCACAGGUGGGGUGAGACCAGGCUGGAGAGCAGGCAGGGCCACGGCAAAGGGCCUGGGAGCCCAGCGAGGCAACUCCAUUUCCAUUUCUUUACUUCCUCCAUGACUCCUUCUAAAAAGGCUUAAGGGUGAGGCCAAGGAAUUUCAACUUCAUUCUAAAAGCCCUAGUGAGCUAUUUAAAGGCUUAAGCAGGUUGAGGUCUGGGUAAAUUUAUAUUUUGGGAUCUAUUUAUGGGUUAACCCAGCUGUCAAACAUGAAUUGCCACAUCAACAUUCUCUGAGAGGAGGUAUGUGUGUGUGUGUGUGUGUGUGCGCGCGCGCACGCGCAUGCACUGGCACACACCAAGGUGAGACUCGGGGAAAUCGCCUGUGCUCAGUCACGUAAAUACAGAUACAUGUGUUCUGUACACAUAAACACCCACAGGAAAGAUACAGGGGAACGCACAACCUCAUCACAAAGCAUCUCAACAGGAGCCUGGGAGUUAUCAAACUGUUAAAACUUGAAAAGCUACAAAAUCGCCCUUUAUUUGGAAGAGCUCAAUCAUUCUCGGGAGGGUUCAGCGUGGGGGUGCUGUGUGUUGUUGGGUCUUCAGAUUUUUUAACUAAGAAAGGACUCCAACCUCAUGGACAUCAUAACGGCAAACCAGUUUCAAUGCUUCUAGACCCCAUCAAGCACAGCUGGGUGGUCCUCUAUCUGCCAGCCAGAAAUGCACCCAAUGGAACAGUCCAGGCUCC
This is a long non-coding RNA of Homo sapiens (human), 4182 nucleotides long. RefSeq annotates it as trinucleotide repeat containing 17. The record is from RefSeq and is marked validated. Lineage: Eukaryota; Metazoa; Chordata; Mammalia; Primates; Hominidae. The transcript has a single exon.